RNAcentral lists this ribosomal RNA (608 nucleotides) under Trichoderma harzianum. RNAcentral's name for it is "eukaryotic LSU rRNA". The stretch from base 227 to 380 matches the Rfam family "5.8S ribosomal RNA". Lineage: Eukaryota; Fungi; Ascomycota; Sordariomycetes; Hypocreales; Hypocreaceae. The record is from RNAcentral.
UUGGUGACCAGCGGAGGGAUCAUUACCGAGUUUACAACUCCCAAACCCAAUGUGAACGUUACCAAACUGUUGCCUCGGCGGGAUCUCUGCCCCGGGUGCGUCGCAGCCCCGGACCAAGGCGCCCGCCGGAGGACCAACCUAAAACUCUUUUUGUAUACCCCCUCGCGGGUUUUUUAUAAUCUGAGCCUUCUCGGCGCCUCUCGUAGGCGUUUCGAAAAUGAAUCAAAACUUUCAACAACGGAUCUCUUGGUUCUGGCAUCGAUGAAGAACGCAGCGAAAUGCGAUAAGUAAUGUGAAUUGCAGAAUUCAGUGAAUCAUCGAAUCUUUGAACGCACAUUGCGCCCGCCAGUAUUCUGGCGGGCAUGCCUGUCCGAGCGUCAUUUCAACCCUCGAACCCCUCCGGGGGGUCGGCGUUGGGGAUCGGCCCUCCCUUAGCGGGUGGCCGUCUCCGAAAUACAGUGGCGGUCUCGCCGCAGCCUCUCCUGCGCAGUAGUUUGCACACUCGCAUCGGGAGCGCGGCGCGUCCACAGCCGUUAAACACCCAACUUCUGAAAUGUUGACCUCGGAUCAGGUAGGAAUACCCGCUGAACUUAAGCAUAUCAAUAAAG